UGUCUCCCCACGUCUCCACUGAUACCCUGGGGGUGAACUGGUUAUUCUCUCUGGGUGCUGGUGAAAGUCCUGGCUUUCCACUAGGCCUCCUCUGAUGCUGCUCAGUGUGGAGCAGAAGGAGGGCCUUGUCACCGACAGGCAGAAGUGGAAGUGCCGGCCUCUGAUGUGUUCUCCGUCAACACGGCUGCCCAACAGUGAUAAUAGUGUCUGCUCCCUCCUCCAUCUCCCUUCCCACAACCCUUGAGAGUGUGAACAAGUCUGGGUGCUUCAUCACGGCACUGCAAGGGCAGAAAUCAAGGUUUUCCACUCAACUUCUGCUGGUCUGGGGACAGGAAAAUCGUCCUCCGCUAAGACAAGAAGGCAGGCAGUGGUGAGAGGCCGUUGGUGUGUUUGAGAAGACGGGUGCGGGAGGAACUCCGAAGGCCACGUUUAUGUGUGAUGCACCUGCUCCUGCUCUGCCUUCUGCCAUGAGUGGAAGCUUCCUGAGGCCUCACCAGAAGCAGAUGCUGCUCUCUUUUCUAUACAGCCUGCACAACCAUGAGCCAAUUAAACCUCUUUUCUUUAUAAAUUAUCCAAGCUCAAGUAUACCUUUGUAGUAAUGCAAAUGGACUAAUGCACUGUUCAAAAGAAAUCCGGUUGAAACUGGGUUUUGCAUAACUAGAUCUCUGACCUCUUGUUCUUUUGGGAUUGGGGAGGGCCAGCCUGCUCACUUGGGGACCUCCUCCUGACAGACUAGGUCUCAACACAGUGGAGAUUUCCAGCCCAAACCUGUAUUAAUCCUCUCCCUCCUGUUGAAUGUUUCUUUCAUGGGAGCUGAGCUGCAGGAUUAGAGCUCAUGAUAAGCCAUUCCAAAGUGUUUUAUGGAAACCAUGAGCUCUCUGGCAGAUUCCCUGCAGGCUUAGGAAUGAAGGAUCCUCCUCACAGUUGUUGUGUGUCUAUACCUCAGAUGCCUGUCACAAAACCCAAGAGGGUCCCAGUGAAUGGAAGAAAGGCUUCCCGAGGUGAUUUCCUUACUAUAAGACAGACCCUGCACCAGGCUGGAUUCUUUCUUUUUUUUGCCAUGCCACAAUGUCGGGAGAGGAGCUGAAGGUCAUACCCUCACACAGGUAGGAGGGUCUAAGUCAAGCCUAUUUUGGAAGGCAAUGUGCUCACAGAAACAUCAUCCAACUUUGAGGUCAAGGCGAGAGGCUGGAAGAAGGUGCCAAGAAUGACAGAUUCUGCUCCGGUGUCAAGGACAGAAGCUGCAUAUUCCACUGUGAAGGCCACAGCUUUUUCAUAAGAAAAGUGCAAUUUACUGAUGAUCAAAUAGUUCAUUUAAGAGAUUCCAGUGAGGAGUGGAAGAUGAAUUGAAGGAGAUAUUAGAGAUGACAUUCAUGAAUUGAACAGAGGAGUUACCCAGAUGAUCCCUGAGAUAUCUUAUAAACCCCAGAUUCUAUGACUGUAUGACUUUUAUCUGAAAUGACACGAGCUGAAGUAGGCGAUUCACACUUUAGAUGUUUCAGGUUCAACUCUGCUUCAGACAAUACUGGGAAUGAAUAAAAAGAAUCUGUAUUAUUAAACAACUCCAGGUGUCACCCAGUUCAUCCCUUGGUUCCAAGGAAACAACAGACAUAUAACUAAUUGACCCAUCUUGUUAGGAACAAUUCAUUGUCCUCAUGGUCCUAUCCAGUGGUGCUCAUUCUCUGCUCUGCAGUGGAAUCACUUAUGAGCUUUUUAAAAAUACAGACACUUUUUCCCACCCCUAGAGCUACUGGGUCAGAAUCUCUGAGGUUGGGUUCAAGGAUGUAAUUUUGUAAAAUUCCUACAGGAGAUCCCAGUGCACCAAGACUGGGAACCACCUCUGUCAUCUGGAUCCUCCUGCUACAGAGCCAUGCUGUGAGGCCCCAGGGCCGCUGCCGUGAUUUUCUGCAGAUGGUCCUGUGUCUGCCUUCUGCAGCGGCUCCCCUCAAAUGCCAUAGAGCUAGAAAGUAAAGGCCAAUGGCCUGGUACCCAAAAGUGAUUUAGUGGAACAAGAGGUAGUUAGUCGGGCUAAAUAUGUGUCAGAGACAAAGGGGGCACAGCACAGCAGAGUGAGGUAAGGACAGGGAGAGUCCAGGGUCUGGGUCCGCCUUGGACCUCUGCCUUGUUUGAUUGGACAUAUAUCUGGAGAAAAUGCAGGCACCAACUCAAAGCAGGCUUGCAUGGAACUGCACUCUGCAAACCUGGCUCAUUUGAUGCUAUGUUAUUUUUUAAAUAGGUGGAAAAGUGUGGCCCCUGUUUCAAGAAGGAAACUCCUUCCUGAGUUCAGAGACCAUGGCCCAGGAGGGCCUGUGUUCUGUCUGUGGAGUUCGGAGGUGGCUGGAGGCAAAUGUUUUAUUUUUUGCUUAAAACCUCAUGGAGCAGCAUGCCAGUUUUUACUCAUGAAAAUGGAAAUAAAAACGGAGAGAGAUGUAAGGGUUAAUUAAAGAAGCUGAGAAAACUGCCUGAUACACUAAUUCUGUUGAGUUACCGGCCACAAUUAAAGGUUUCAUUGAAAAGACCAGAGAAAAACUGCUUACGAAGCUUGCCCGG
RNAcentral lists this long non-coding RNA (2550 nucleotides) under Homo sapiens (human). RNAcentral describes it as "HSALNT0183874". The record is from RNAcentral. Lineage: Eukaryota; Metazoa; Chordata; Mammalia; Primates; Hominidae.